Molecule: ribosomal RNA, 208 nt
Filed under: uncultured bacterium
Lineage: Bacteria
Description: partial 16S ribosomal RNA
Rfam family: Bacterial small subunit ribosomal RNA
Source: RNAcentral
UGCGCAGGCGGUUCGGAAAGAAAGGUGUGAAAUCCCAGGGCUUAACCUUGGAACUGCACUUUUAACUACCGGGCUAGAGUACGUCAGAGGGGGGUAGAAUUCCACGUGUAGCAGUGAAAUGCGUAGAGAUGUGGAGGAAUACCGAUGGCGAAGGCAGCCCCCCUGGGAUGAUACUGACGCUCAUGCACGAAAGCGUGGGGAGCAAACA